Molecule: ribosomal RNA, 439 nt
Filed under: uncultured bacterium
Lineage: Bacteria
Description: partial 16S ribosomal RNA
Rfam family: Bacterial small subunit ribosomal RNA
Source: RNAcentral
CUACGGGUUGCUGCAGUAGGGAAUCUUAGACAAUGGGGGAAACCCUGAUCUAGCCAUGCCGCGUGAGUGAUGAAGGCCUUAGGGUUGUAAAGCUCUUUCGCUGGGGAAGAUAAUGACGGUACCCAGUAAAGAAACCCCGGCUAACUCCGUGCCAGCAGCCGCGGUAAUACGGAGGGGGUUAGCGCUGUUCGGAAUUACUGGGCGUAAAGCGCGCGUAGGCGGGCUAUUAAGUCAGGGGUGAAAUCCCGGGGCUCAACCCCGGAACUGCCUUUGAUACUGGUAGUCUUGAGUUCGAGAGAGGUGAGUGGAAUUCCGAGCGUAGAGGUGAAAUUCGUAGAUAUUCGGAGGAACAUCAGUGGCGAAGGCGACUCACUGGCUCGAUACUGACGCUGAGGUGCGAAAGUGUGGGGAGCAAACAGGAUUAGAUACCCUGGUAGUC